GUGGGGAAUAUUGGACAAUGGGCGCAAGCCUGAUCCAGCCAUGCCGCGUGAGUGAUGAAGGCCUUAGGGUUGUAAAGCUCUUUUGUCCGGGAAGAUAAUGACUGUACCGGAAGAAUAAGCCCCGGCUAACUUCGUGCCAGCAGCCGCGGUAAUACGAAGGGGGCUAGCGUUGCUCGGAAUCACUGGGCGUAAAGGGCGCGUAGGCGGACUUUUAAGUCGGAGGUGAAAGCCCAGGGCUCAACCCUGGAAUUGCCUUCGAUACUGGGAGUCUUGAGUUCGGAAGAGGUUGGUGGAACUGCGAGUGUAGAGGUGAAAUUCGUAGAUAUUCGCAAGAACACCGGUGGCGAAGGCGGCCAACUGGUCCGAAACUGACGCUGAGGCGCGAAAGCGUGGGGAGCAAACAGGAUUAGAAACCCUAGUAGUCC
Molecule: ribosomal RNA, 425 nt
Filed under: uncultured bacterium
Lineage: Bacteria
Description: bacterial SSU rRNA
Rfam family: Bacterial small subunit ribosomal RNA
Source: RNAcentral